Molecule: ribosomal RNA, 432 nt
Filed under: uncultured bacterium
Lineage: Bacteria
Description: partial 16S ribosomal RNA
Rfam family: Bacterial small subunit ribosomal RNA
Source: RNAcentral
AACGAACGCUGGCGGCAGGCUUAACACAUGCAAGUCGAGCGAGACCUUCGGUCUAGCGGCGGACGGGUGAGUCACGCGUGGGAACGUGCCCUUCUCUACGGAAUAGCCCCGGGAAACUGGGAGUAAUACCGUAUACGCCCUUUGGGGGAAAGAUUUAUCGGAGAAGGAUCGGCCCGCGUUGGAUUAGGUAGUUGGUGGGGUAAUGGCCCACCAAGCCGACGAUCCAUAGCUGGUUUGAGAGGAUGAUCAGCCACACUGGGACUGAGACACGGCCCAGACUCCUACGGGAGGCAGCAGUGGGGAAUCUUAGACAAUGGGGGCAACCCUGAUCUAGCCAUGCCGCGUGAGUGAUGAAGGCCUUAGGGUUGUAAAGCUCUUUCAGCUGGGAAGAUAAUGACGGUACCAGCAGAAGAAGCCCCGGCUAACUCCGUG